This is a non-coding RNA of Ictidomys tridecemlineatus (thirteen-lined ground squirrel), 72 nucleotides long. The record is from Rfam. NCBI's taxonomy places the organism in Eukaryota, Metazoa, Chordata, Mammalia, Rodentia, Sciuridae.
GGGGUUGUGGCUCAGUGGUAGAGUGCUUACUUGGCUUGUGUGAAGCCCUGGGUUCAAUUCUCAGCAUCUCAU